UACGUAGGGUGCGAGCGUUGUCCGGAAUUAUUGGGCGUAAAGGGCUCGUAGGCGGUUUGUCGCGUCGGGAGUGAAAACCUUGGGCUUAACUCAGGGCUUGCUUUCGAUACGGGCAGACUGGAGUACUGCAGGGGAGACUGGAAUUCCUGGUGUAGCGGUGGAAUGCGCAGAUAUCAGGAGGAACACCGGUGGCGAAGGCGGGUCUCUGGGCAGUAACUGACGCUGAGGAGCGAAAGCGUGGGGAGCGAACAGG
RNAcentral lists this ribosomal RNA (253 nucleotides) under uncultured bacterium. RNAcentral describes it as "partial 16S ribosomal RNA". It matches the Rfam family "Bacterial small subunit ribosomal RNA", at positions 524 to 776 of the family's 1533-position model. The record is from RNAcentral.